UACAGAGGGGGCAAGCGUUGUUCGGAAUUACUGGGCGUAAAGGGCGCGUAGGCGGCCUGCUAAGUCGAACGUGAAAUCCCUGGGCUCAACCCAGGAACUGCGUCCGAUACUGGUUGGCUUGAGUUCGGGAGAGGGAAGCGGAAUUCCGGGUGUAGCGGUGAAAUGCGUAGAUAUCCGGAGGAACACCGGUGGCGAAGGCGGCUUCCUGGACCGACACUGACGCUGAGGCGCGAAAGCCAGGGGAGCAAACGGG
RNAcentral lists this ribosomal RNA (253 nucleotides) under uncultured bacterium. RNAcentral's name for it is "partial 16S ribosomal RNA". It matches the Rfam family "Bacterial small subunit ribosomal RNA", at positions 524 to 776 of the family's 1533-position model. The record is from RNAcentral.